GGGGGUGUAGCUCAGAGGCAGAGCACUUGCCUAGAAGGCAUGAGGCCUGGAUUUCAUCCCCA
Molecule: transfer RNA, 62 nt
Filed under: Urocitellus parryii (Arctic ground squirrel)
Lineage: Eukaryota; Metazoa; Chordata; Mammalia; Rodentia; Sciuridae
Also listed under: 1 other name
Description: Spermophilus parryii (Arctic ground squirrel) tRNA
Rfam family: tRNA
About the family: Transfer RNA (tRNA) molecules are approximately 80 nucleotides in length. Their secondary structure includes four short double-helical elements and three loops (D, anti-codon, and T loops).
Source: Rfam by way of RNAcentral